GAUGAACGCUGACAGAAUGCUUAACACAUGCGAGUCUUUGGCGAAGCUGUGCUUGCACAGCCUAGCCAAGGCGGACGGGUGAGUAACGCGUAAGGAACUUGCCCUGCAGUCAGGGAUAACAGACGGAAACGACUGAUAAGACCUGGUAAAGUCAGGCGGACUCAUGUCCAGCCUGAUGAAAAGAGAUGCUGCAGGCGAGCCUUGCGUCCUAUUAGCUUGUUGGUGGGGUAACGGCCCACCAAGGCGAUGAUAGGUAGCCGGCCUGAGAGGGUGGACGGCCAGAGGGGGACGGGGAGACGGCGCGUAGUCCGACGGGAGGCAGCAGGGGGGAAUAUGGGACAAUGGGGGCAACCCGGAGCCAGCAAUUCUGGGGGAAGGAUGAAGGUUUGGGGAUGGGAAAGUGCUUUCGGAAGGGAAGAAAAAAUGACGGGACCUGCAGAAGAAGCGACGGCUAAAUACGUG
RNAcentral lists this ribosomal RNA (462 nucleotides) under uncultured bacterium. RNAcentral's name for it is "partial 16S ribosomal RNA". It matches the Rfam family "Bacterial small subunit ribosomal RNA", at positions 28 to 507 of the family's 1533-position model. The record is from RNAcentral.